Molecule: ribosomal RNA, 460 nt
Filed under: uncultured bacterium
Lineage: Bacteria
Description: partial 16S ribosomal RNA
Rfam family: Bacterial small subunit ribosomal RNA
Source: RNAcentral
CCUACGGGAGGCAGCAGUGAGGAAUAUUGGUCAAUGGGCGCGAGCCUGAACCAGCCAAGUAGCGUGAAGGAUGACUGCCCUACGGGUUGUAAACUUCUUUUAUAAAGGAAUAAAGUGAGGCACGUGUGCCUUUUUGUAUGUACUUUAUGAAUAAGGAUCGGCUAACUCCGUGCCAGCAGCCGCGGUAAUACGGAGGAUCCGAGCGUUAUCCGGAUUUAUUUGGUUUAAAGGGAGCGUAGAUGGGUUGUUAAGUCAGUUGUGAAAGUUUGCGGCUCAACCGUCAAAUUGCCAUUGAUACUGGCAGUCUUGAGUACAGUUGAGGUAGGCGGAAUGCGCGGUGUAGCGGUGAAAUGCAUAGAUAUCACGCAGAACUCCGAUUGCGAAGGCAGCUUACUAAACGAUAACUGACACUGAAGCACGAAAGCGUGGGUAUCAAACAGGAUUAGAUACCCGGGUAGUC